This is a small nucleolar RNA of Ictalurus punctatus (channel catfish), 179 nucleotides long. Ensembl annotates it as Small nucleolar RNA SNORA23. The record is from Ensembl. NCBI's taxonomy places the organism in Eukaryota, Metazoa, Chordata, Actinopteri, Siluriformes, Ictaluridae.
GUAAAGCGGUGUGCGUGGUGCCUGUCUGCGUUUAGUGCCGUCUCCAGUCUGUGUUUUACAGUCUGUGACCGUGCUCACACCACACCUGCAGCCACAGAGCCACUGGAGAUCAUAGUACUGGCCUAGUGACGUCAUCACGACCGUCUACCACUGGUCAGCCUCCAUUCUCUCCUACACAA